Molecule: non-coding RNA, 27 nt
Filed under: Homo sapiens (human)
Lineage: Eukaryota; Metazoa; Chordata; Mammalia; Primates; Hominidae
Source: RNAcentral
GCCACAGCUGCAGAGCUAGACAGAAGC